This 484-nucleotide ribosomal RNA is filed under the name uncultured bacterium. RNAcentral's name for it is "partial 16S ribosomal RNA". It matches the Rfam family "Bacterial small subunit ribosomal RNA", at positions 30 to 507 of the family's 1533-position model. The record is from RNAcentral.
AUCGAACGCUAGCGGGAUGCUUUACACAUGCCAGUCGAACGGCAGCGCGGACUUCGGUCUGGCGGCGAGUGGCGAACGGGUGAGUAAUGUAUCGGAACGUGCCCAGUAGCGGGGGAUAACUACGCGAAAGCGUAGCUAAUACCGCAUACGCCCUACGGGGGAAAGCAGGGGAUCGUAAGACCUUGCACUAUUGGAGCGGCCGAUAUCGGAUUAGCUAGUUGGUGAGGUAACGGCUCACCAAGGCGACGAUCCGUAGCUGGUUUGAGAGGACGACCAGCCACACUGGGACUGAGACACGGCCCAGACUCCUACGGGAGGCAGCAGUGGGGAAUUUUGGACAAUGGGGGCAACCCUGAUCCAGCCAUCCCGCGUGUGCGAUGAAGGCCUUCGGGUUGUAAAGCACUUUUGGCAGGAAAGAAACGUCGCGGGCUAAUACCCCGUGGAACUGACGGUACCUGCAGAAUAAGCACCGGCUAACUACGUG